Molecule: small nucleolar RNA, 122 nt
Filed under: Echinops telfairi (small Madagascar hedgehog)
Lineage: Eukaryota; Metazoa; Chordata; Mammalia; Afrosoricida; Tenrecidae
Description: Small nucleolar RNA SNORA61 (ENSETEG00000024698.1)
Source: RNAcentral
ACCCUUCGGUUUUCUUUCCCAUCAGAUCGAAACACUGGUCUGAACGGUUACAAAAGGAGGAAAAAUAACACUGAAAUGGGGCUUCAAUGCUUUUGUAGCACAUAGAUUAGUUUAGAAGACAU